CAUGAUCUUGCGAGUCAAGGUGACACUUAUACCACUCCUUAUUACCAUGUCUGACCACAUGCCACCCAAGAAUCCCAUGAACGCCAUCAAACUCCAUGGUACAGCACUAAACCAUGCUGCUCGUUUGAGGUCAACAUGAAAUAUCGAGUUAAAGUAUAUAGGCAUCCAGGAAAGAAUAACAAAAAAUCCCCAGCUAUGCAUGGCAUUUGCAACAAUUAAGGACCAUGUUGGCAUUUUAGACAACAAGCGUCUGAAUGGAGGGAUAACUCUGGCCUUAGUAUUAUUCUCUGUCGGAAAAGAUUUCUGCUUCUUGCCCAUAAUAUACUCCAAUUCACAUCUUGAAAUCUGGGAACUUUGAUAAGGUGUACUUGAUAUUGCAGAAAACCAAACCAAAACCCAAAGGAAUCCAGAUAGUCCAAAAAUUACAAAUGGCCCAAAUAUUCCACCUUGUGACAUGAGGAUUGGGGAUAGCGUCAGUCCUAUUGCACAUCCAAGCUGAAAUCCAGCCAUUGCAAUUCCAACAGCCCUGGCACGUUCUGUCGGUGGAAACCAUCUUGCUACCAUGCUGUUCAUGCAAGGAA
Molecule: unclassified non-coding RNA, 581 nt
Filed under: Hevea brasiliensis (rubber tree)
Lineage: Eukaryota; Viridiplantae; Streptophyta; Magnoliopsida; Malpighiales; Euphorbiaceae
Source: RNAcentral